Molecule: ribosomal RNA, 440 nt
Filed under: uncultured bacterium
Lineage: Bacteria
Description: partial 16S ribosomal RNA
Rfam family: Bacterial small subunit ribosomal RNA
Source: RNAcentral
CCUACGGGAGGCAGCAGUGAGGAAUAUUGGUCAAUGGGGGGAACCCUGAUCCAGCGACGCCGCGUGAGUGAAGAAGUAUUUCGGUAUGUAAAGCUCUAUCUGCAGGGGAGAAAAUGACGGUACCUGACUAAGAAGCCCCGGCUAACUACGUGCCAGCAGCCGCGGUAAUACGUAGGGGGCAAGCGUUAUCCGGAUUUACUGGGGGUAAAGGGAGCGUAGACGGUGCAGUAAGUAGGAUGUGAAAGGUCGGGGCCCAACCCCGGGACUGCAUUGGAAACCGUUGAACUUGAGUACAGGAGAGGUAAGCGGAAUUCGUAGUGUAGCGGUGAAAUGCGUAGAUAUUAGGAAGAACACCAGUGGCGAAGGCAGCUUACUGGACUGUAACUGACGUUGAGGCUCGAAAGCGUGGGUAGCAAACAGGAUUAGAUACCCCAGUAGUC